Molecule: long non-coding RNA, 754 nt
Organism: Alligator mississippiensis (American alligator)
Lineage: Eukaryota; Metazoa; Chordata; Crocodylia; Alligatoridae
Exons: 2
Source: RefSeq, a predicted model, not a curated record
GGUAUUAUUAAUGCUUAUCACUCUUUAGGUCCAUACAGUUCAAUGACAGUUUGAAAAGGAUGUACUGAUACAGGAUUUCCUGGUAGUUUGACACAGCAUGUGGUGGUUCCAGUAAGCCUCUUGCCGAACAAAGCACACCGAGGAACUUCUGAAGCUUCAGUGGAUGAAUGACAGUGCGGAGCCCAAGAGGCAAGCAUUUUAUCCAGUCUUUUGUCAUUUUUCAGCUAACUGCACUAAUGCUUGAGCCACCAUCUAAGGAACUGCCUUGUUAAUAAGAGCAUGAAGCAAAUACCUAAUUGUUCACAGAGCUGGUGAUGUUUCUUUCCAGGGCUUUGGAAAAACUCUGCCACCCUGAAUUUUCAGAACCGCUGCAAACCACACCAAGAAAAUAUUUUUUUCAGGUCAUCACCAAAAUCAAGUAUCUACAAGAGAUGGAGGAUAAUAUCAUGCUUCAGAUGCUGGUCAGGAAUUCAGGAAAUUUGAUUUCAUGUCUGCAUUCAUUUUUGUGUGACCUUGGGCAAGUAGAAUCACCUGGGAGGUGCAAAUGAGAUUCAUUGAAUCAUGACAAUUCUGAACUCAAGUCACCACAGGAGGAACAAGGAGCUUUACUGGAUCAAGCCUCUGCUUAUGAAGAAGGAACAAAUGAAGAAAAUGUAGCACAAGAAUUAACAGUAAAGCAAAGCUUAAUAGUGACCCAGAUAAAGGGCAGAGUGCUACUCUCUGAAUAAAAUGGAAUAAUCAGAACAGCACCAGA